RNAcentral lists this transfer RNA (74 nucleotides) under Evoxymetopon poeyi (Poey's scabbardfish). Its description in RNAcentral is "tRNA-Thr". It matches the Rfam family "tRNA". Rfam says of the family: Transfer RNA (tRNA) molecules are approximately 80 nucleotides in length. Their secondary structure includes four short double-helical elements and three loops (D, anti-codon, and T loops). Lineage: Eukaryota; Metazoa; Chordata; Actinopteri; Scombriformes; Trichiuridae. The record is from RNAcentral.
GCAACUGUAGCUCAGCGCCCCAGAGCCCCGGUCUUGUAAACCGACCGUCGGGGGUUAAAAUCCCCCCACUUGCU